Long non-coding RNA from Catharus ustulatus (Swainson's thrush), 1883 nucleotides. RefSeq lists it as uncharacterized. Lineage: Eukaryota; Metazoa; Chordata; Aves; Passeriformes; Turdidae. The transcript has 4 exons. The record is from RefSeq and is a predicted model, not a curated record.
CAAAACUAUAUCUUAGCUAUGGCAGCCAAAACAAGACUUCUUAAAAAUAAACAAUCUUGAAAACCAUUUGGCCAAUUUAUACAUCAAUUAGAGAGAAGAUCACCAUUAAUUGAAGUGAGCUGAGAAGCAGCUCAGACGGAUGGGUUUGGUUUCUCUCCAGUGACAUCCAUGCAGUUUAUUACAUAAGCAGUUUACUGCAGUGAAGUCAUUACAGUGUCCAGCCACAGAGCCUCUGUUUGUUUGACUCCUCAGCUCCUCUUUAACCACUUCCCUCCACACAGAUCCUCCACCAUGUGUAUGCUGAGAAGCUACCCAAGCCAGACAAGCAGAUGUUCUGCAGACUUUGGAUCCUGACAGCCCAUUCUCCAACCAUUUCUGACAGCUCAAUAAUCAGUCAGUGCCAAAGCAGCAUAUUUAACUUAAGGGUUGCCAGAAAUCAGAUACCCACGCCUUUUUUCUUAAGGAGUACAAGGAUAUGAAAACCAGGAGUAGCAUCACCCACUGCCAGAUACUCUUACAUCCUCCUCGUGCACAGCAUGAAUAUCAUACUAUAAAGAAAUUGGAUGAUUUCCAGAGGUGUUGGUCUCAUUCUGAAUCCAAAACACAGCACUGCAGCAGCUACUGGGAAGAAAUGAGCACCAUGAGAGCUGAAACCAGGACACCAAAAUCAUUUUGAUAGAGAGACUUUAGCACUUGUGCUACUCAAGGAAGGACAGCAGCUUACUGAAAAUUUUAAUCAUGGUGGGGGCAAAACCCAUCUGCAUCCUUACUAGCACUGGCCAGCUUGGGCUUGCACUCCUGUGUUACACAGAAUUUACACCACGACACCCACAAGCAGCUUCCUCCCCCCAGGGCUGGAUCAGAGCAGCAUUCUGUGCUGGCCAUGCCUUUGAUAACUGGCAGCUUUGAGAGGCAGAAAGCUUGGACUGAAAACACCUGCAGCUGUGUUGGGGAAAGGAAACUCAACAUCUGCACCCCUGGUUACAAUCCUUGAUGGUUUCUGAGUUGUAGAUGUACUGUCAAAUUGUCCCACCUUACCCUAUCGACUUAAUUCAGGCAGGAUUUAAAAAGAUGACACUGUGACACAUCUGGAGGGAGAGCUGUAGGGACUAUAGGAAGGAUCAGCUCUGUGCUCCCAAAACUAAAGCACUUCUUUCCAACACCAUUCCCAGAGUGUCCCUUCAAGCCCUUCCUUUUCCAAGAUAAUUACACUGUUAGCUUCACUGCUUCAUCUCCUGGACCACAACACACCUCAGAACCUGUAGGGUCUGCUUACAGUUCAGACAAACAUAGAAGUUUCCAAUUUAUGUCUUUUUUUGUUGUUGUUUUGUUUUUGUUUCCUCUUCUGAAAAUAUAAGCUAAUGGAAAAAAUAUUUUUACAAGUUAUUAAUGCACAUUAAUGAUAAGUCUAGUGAGCAUUAGUUCCAGAAGGGCACAUUUGCUAUAAUGAUGAAGAGCAAUAUAUAAAUGAACAUUACAGAGCUCCACAGGUCCAUUUCUGGGCCAACCAUGAUUAAAUUAACUACAAAAAGAUACUUGACACAACCAGUGUGACACUUGACUGAAUUUGGGAGUCAUGUAGGGAUCUCACUGAAAACUAGGAUGCUAAAUAAAUCCAUCUUACAAUAGCAACCAUGUUCAUGUGUUUUAUUUAAUGCAGUGGGGUGCUUAUUUAAUUGUUAACAUUUCAACAAAAGAAAAUAAAUUAUGCUUUCACCUCCAUCCAUGGCUCUGCUAAUAAACUGUUUUUUCCCAAAUGCAUGGCCUUGAAACAAUAAACUCUUAAGCUUUUCACAGAACCAGUUUUUAAGAAGGCAUAGCAUGUUUUAGAGAUUCCAGCUAUCAGUCACUUAACACAUAUUAAUUUGACUCAUCAGAUACUC